Long non-coding RNA from Corapipo altera (White-ruffed manakin), 616 nucleotides. RefSeq lists it as uncharacterized. The transcript has 3 exons. NCBI's taxonomy places the organism in Eukaryota, Metazoa, Chordata, Aves, Passeriformes, Pipridae. The record is from RefSeq and is a predicted model, not a curated record.
CCAGGAAGUAAGUAAGUAAGUAUUCCAUCCUAUUCCUUUACGUAACCAAACACAUAAAUAGAUGGAGAGAGAAGCCUCUUCCUCUCUUCCCUUCUGGCAAGGUUUGGAGACAGCAGUCUUCCGCAGGUCGGUCUCAUUCCUGUGGGGGAGCUGAGGCCUGGCCGGGCCUACAGGGCCUGUUGUUUGUGCCGAUCCAGGGUCCAGUAGUCUGGCGGCGGUCGUUCAGUGUGAUUUCUGCUGUCCAAAGGAAAGUAGAGGUUUUGUGCUGGGUCUUGGGGACUUGGCAGGGAGCCAAAUCAAAACUUAGACAACACAGAAACUAGCUAUGAACUGAAUAGUUCUGAAGGUGGUCAAACACUAUAAUGAGUUGCCCAGAAAGAUUGUGGAAUCUCCAUAUUUGGAGAUGCCCAAAGCCUGACUGGACAAGGCCCUGGGCGACCUGCUGUCUAUGACCCUGCCUAGAGCAAGGGUUUGGGCAGGACAGUUGCCAGAGAUGCCUUCCUACAGAAAACAUUCUCAAAAAAGUCAUAACUGAAGGUCAUAAACUGAAGAAUGGCUGUGGAUACAAUGUACAAAAAAGAACAGGAGCUGCCAGCUCCAGAGACAUGAUCACAAG